AUUCUGUAUCUGCAACCUACAACUGCCCUCAUCCACCACACACAGGCUGAACCACUCUCCCUUCUCUGAGCUCUCUUGGGUAGGCCAUUAUCUGCUUUAUAUGCCCCAAAUUUCCCCGUUUCAUGUGCGUAUCCUACUACCCCCUCCCUGCCAUCGUUCCUUCCUUCCCUCCCUCCUAUCUAGUGGCAGAACUAACAUAGUUGCAACGGUUGCUAUUGCAACUGGGUCCUGGAG
This is a non-coding RNA of Pelobates cultripes (western spadefoot toad), 234 nucleotides long. The record is from the annotation of a GenBank genome assembly. Lineage: Eukaryota; Metazoa; Chordata; Amphibia; Anura; Pelobatidae.